UCAGAUAAAUUUUCAUUUUUUUUUUUAUAAAAACUUUUCAUAUUCUUAUUCUAUUAAAUUUUUAUAAUUAAAUAUUUUAUAAGUUGAAGACUAGCGCCAUUGAUUUUCUUAUUGCAUCAUUAAUUUUUGAGUUCACUACAGCAGAAGCAUUUUUUCAAUAAAUCAACGUAUUUUUCGCUGGUACAUCUCAAAAAGCGACAUUAAAUUUCAAAUGAUUUACAGAAACAAUACAAAAAAGUUACUUUCCUAGAAUGUAAAACUAUGGUUUUUUGAAACUAUAUAUGUUAACUUAACAAUGUAUAAAUAUCCUUAAUAAUAUAAAAAUAUUUUUAUGCUUUUUAA
Hydra vulgaris (swiftwater hydra) is the source of this 342-nucleotide non-coding RNA. The record is from RefSeq and is a predicted model, not a curated record. Lineage: Eukaryota; Metazoa; Cnidaria; Hydrozoa; Anthoathecata; Hydridae.